GCUUUGGCCCUUGAAGCAUUCUGAUUGGCUCCGCGGGUACAGGAGGCCGACCCUGGUGACGUAUCCGGCCUGGUACGGUCAUUGGCUAACGUGCCAGGGUCGAGGGACGCGGGUAAAGGUGGGUUGCGCGGCAGAAGCUGCUAGGCAGCAAGGUCAGGCCUCUCGUCCCACCAGGCACCGCGGCGGACGGGCAGCCCCUUGGUCCAGAGUCGGCGACCAAAAACCGGAAGUGCUGACCCUUCCCACAGUGCCUCGGGAGAACUCUAACCGGUUUAUGUGAACCCUGUCCUGCUGCUUCUUACCCACAAUGCCCCUUACCUGUUUAACGCGAGACAGUUGCCGUAGACCCACCCUUUUCGUUACCCAUCGUCCCUUCUGUUCCCCGCCCCCACUUGCGUCACUGCGGCUUCUAUCUUUGGCCCAUUCAUUCCCGUCCUAUUACCCAGCAUGCCUCUGUCCCAUUCAUUUCAGCCUCAUUUCUUCAACUACCUAUAGCUCGUUUCUGCCUGUUCACUUCCAUCAUCCUAGCGCGUCUUUAAUUAGCCAUGAUGUUUUGGGUCCAUUACCCAUCAUGCCUGCCGGCCCUGUUUCUCUAUUAUUCCUCUGCCUCUGGCUCAUUCAUUCAGUUCUAUUAACCAUAAUGCCCUGAGCUCCUAUGCAUUAUUCGUAAUUUUGCCUUUGGCUUGUUCUUACUUGCCAUUUAUCCUUUAAACCUGAGUCCCUCAAACUGAAUUACUGCCAUUUCUAUCUUUGUUCCGUUUAUUCCUGUCCAUUACCCAUAGAUUGUCGUUCCCUGUCAUUAACCACCGUUCCCUGGACUCCUCCCCCUUUCCUUCCAUUAUGCACCAUUAUGUUUUUGGCUUACGCGUUUUUGCUCAUUAUCCGCUCACUUAAUUUUUUUUUUUUUUUUAGAUAUCUUUGGCCCUUUUAUUUUUUUGCCUGUAACCCAUCUUGACGUCUAUCCUACUGAUUCCUUCGAGCUCUAGGCGCCCUCUUCAUUUCCCAUCAUGUCCCACUCCCAUCCCCUUCACAUCCCGCAGAAAACACAAGUUGACACCCGGUCAAAGUAUAAACUCAGAUUUUGUAGGAAAUGCUGUAUUACAAAACUGAAUUAUAUCCCCACCCACCCCCUCCAACCCCCACCCCCUGCCAGGAGACGUUUGGGUUCCAUCCCACUGGGCAGGAGUAAAAGGACUCAGUAGUCUUCAGCGUAACAGCAAAUUCUUCUCCUAAGGCUGGGACUGGCAAGGCACACUGCAUGAGGCUUACCUCAUCCUAACCCCGGGCCGGGGCUUAAUUCCCUCUAGACAGGAAUCGGGGUAGUGGGGGCUCAGGGAAGGGUCUGGACCCCUGAGACUCCUGCCUGCAGGAGGGAGAUGAGGAAGUUCCGCUUUGGGCUGGGGAAUCCCCUCCCUCUUGCCUUUGGGGAACAGACAGGGUGGGGAGGGGGAGAGUGGGGCUCUGCUGCCUGGAGGGCUCAGGUCUGAGCAGCAGGGUGCCCCCACCAACUACCCCAGGAGAGCUAUUGGGAGUUUACUUCCUGAGGACACAUCAGAGGUCUGGGGUUCUUCUUUGGGGUUUUGAGGGAGUCUGGAGAUGACGGGACGUGAGAGGUAUGAUCUAAAGUCACAGUCUUAGGAGUCCUCGGGUCAGAGGCUGUGCGGGAACGUGCUUCCCCACCCCCACCUGAGAUAAGGUUGCCAGGUUUCUGUUGUCAUGACUGGUUUCUCUGGGUCAGAGAUCAUGGAUUACAGGUCAUCGUGGAGCCACCGAAGUAGAAGUCACAGAUGAGAUGCAUUUUUGUGUGUUAACUGACAGUGGCCUGGCCUGGCGGAAAGUUGAGGGAUCAAAAAGUGAGAGGCAAGAGGCCAGGGCCACGGAAGCUCACACAUACAUGGCUCGGGACAUGACAAAGCCUUUGCUCCGGUAGGAAUCAGCGGGGCUAGAGUAGGACAGGGCAUCAUAGAUGGGGUUGAUCUUGUCCAAAUAGUCUUCCUCCUCCUCCUCUAAGUCCAGGGAAACCCUCUCCACAGCAGGUGGCCCUGGAGGCACCAGGAUGGGUGACCCCAGGCCUGUAGCCUCCAGGAGCAGGGGCCCUGACCUCUCUUCCAAGGUGGGCAGCUCAUGAUAUCGAGGCAUAUCCUGGGGGCAGGGAGGGAAAAAGCCCAAGGUCAUCUCCUGAGCACACAGAAUCCCAACCCGCCCCUUGACCCCCAAAUCUCGACCAUCUCCUUAUGCCAACCAGACCCGACCUAACCCCUUGCGGCCUGGGCUGAAAUUGCUCUGGGGCAAUCAUACGGCUUAUCCAGAACUCAAAGCCCAGACCCCAUCGCUCCUGGGCCUCUCCUUUGUCUUUUGAUCCCUGACCACAAGUCUUUUUCCACGAACCUUUGACUUCGAUCUUAUCCUCAACUACUUAACCUUAAGGCCGAAACAGCUCCUUGAACCUCGGUUUGUCUCAACUGUGAUAGGACCCCUGACAUCCAGCAGACCGCUUUCACUGACUGAGUGACCUUGAGCUCUAACCUCAUGUUCUUGCGCUUUUUCAACCAAGAUCUCCCCCACUGAAUCCUAAACACAUCUCGAUUCUCUAAGCUCUGACCAGAGACACGGCCCUGACCUUGAAUUGUGACCUUUAAUGUCAGGAGCUGACCCCGGCCCUAAACCCACCCCUGACCUGCCCUGAGCUCCUACCUGCUCAGCACAUGAGACGCCAGCAUCAAAGUAGGGAGUCUUGAGCGGGCUGUGCUCCGAGGCCCCAAGAGUGAAGAGCUGGGAGGGCUGCAGGGAAGGAAGAGGGGCGGGUCAGGACAACCCCCCCACGGCUGGCCUCUCCCCACCGGCUCCCCCUCUAGCCCCCGCCUCAGUGGGGAAAGGUGGGUGUGGGUGUGGGCGCAGCCGGGUACCGGGGGAAGUGCUCACCAUCUCUGGCUCCUCGAGCUUCGCCUUGGGGGUUGGUGGCUUGUACAAGGGAGGCCCCUCCAGACUGUGGGGUAGGAGAUAGGUCAAGGUGGAGGCUCAGACGGGAAGAGCCCUCCUAUCCCAGGUCACCGCACCUGCUCUCCCCUCUGCCUGAUCUCCCUUUCCACCGCCCGCGUGCCCCCUUGCCCAGCUAAUGCCUAAUCAUCCCCAUCAAUUUCUCUUCUUCCAGGAAGCCUCCCUGGUUCUCCAGGAGGGUCAGGAAUUCUGGACAUACGGUUACAUCUAGCUUUUCUUCCCUCUCAGAGCAUUUACUGAGUUUGUGUUUGAAAUAUUAUUUAUGAUAUCGUCCAAUAACCGUAUCCCACUGUGAAGCAAUGUGAAGGAAAAAAUGAAAUCUGUGUCUUCCACAGUGUUCUCAGAACUCGCCAUGAGGAAGUCAGGAAGUAUUUGUUAAUAGAAUGAAUGAAUAAACGAAAUGCUUUCCUGGCCUCCAACCUACGAUACAUUUCCCUCAUCAUACAUACCCACAGACCAGAGCAUCCUGCAUGCAUAAUGAGCCUUCAAUCCCCACCUCGGAUGUUGCCUCCCCCAGGAAGCCCUCCCUGACCCUCCACGCUGGCUCAGGGGCCCCCUCUGGCCUCUCACAGCUCUCUCAGCUUUUCUAGCCCAUCGCCGGCCAUGCUGCACUGCCACUCGCUAGGGAUGGGUCUGUUUCCUCCAGACUGUGAGCCCCAGGAGGGCAGGGCCAUCUCAAGCACCACUGGGUCUCAGCACUGGGUUGGACAGAGGAGAUCGAUGGCAAGUUGUUGGUUUGAACUGACUAGAUGAUUAAGGCAGUGGUUCAGAAACUUUCUUGUGCAUCAGAAUAACUCAGGGAGCUUGUUAUAAAUACAGAUUCCGAGCCCUUCCUGUAAAAGUUCUGAUGUAGUAGGUUUGGUAUAAGCUCGGGAAUCUACGUUGUUAACAAGUGUUCCACGCCUGCCGCGCGCGCGCCCGCACACACACACACACACACACACACACACACACUGGGUAGUGUUACUUCAGAACCAUUUUGCCCCCCAAAUGCUUACUUGCUGGGCGAAUUUCAGCAAGUGAUCUCAGCCCCCUCUGAACCUGUUUCCUUUCUGAUAAAAUGGGUACCAUUGGCUCCCUGUGAGAAUUUAUGUUUCCAUGAUGUAUUUAUGUGUGUGAACACUUUAAAAAUGUUUGUCUCAUCAGUGCGUCACUAACCUCCAGGGCCUGGCCCUGGUGGAUACUUUCUGAACGCUUGUUGAGUCAACGAAUGGAUGUGAGGCUUCAUCAAGGUCACACACGUAAAAAUGCAUCUCGCCAAGCCUGGCACAUAACAAAUGUUCUACACAGAGACGUGUAGCUGGUUCCCACCUGGCCCCCCUAUCCAGGCUCCUUCUUUCUCAUAUUAAGAGAUUUUAGUUGGGGGUGCCUGGGUGGCUCAGUUGGUUAAGCAUCGGACUCUUUUGUUUGUUUAUUUGCUUUUUGCAUCUGUAAAAGGCAUUUAUUCCGAGAAUCUAAAAUUUGGACAAAGAAUACGGAACAGCAUCGGACUCUUAAUUUCAGCUCAGAUCAUGAUCUCACGGGUUGUGAGUUCAGGCCCUACAUUGGGCUCUGCACUGAUGGUGCAGAGCCUGCUUGGGAUUCUCUGUCUCCCUCUCUCUCUGCCCCUCUCCUGCUCUCUCUCUCUCUCAAAAUAAAGAAAUAAACAUAAAAAAGAGAGAAAGAGAGAUUUUAGCUGGACAUACGAUCACCCAGAAUAAAGACUACAUUUCCCAGCGUCCCUUGCGGCCGGUGCACCAUGUGACUAGAUUCUGGCCAAUGGGACGUGAGGGGGAGUGACGGGUUCCCUUACAGGGCAGCUCACCGCCUUCUGUUUAAUCUUUCCCCCUGGCAGGAACGCCUGUUUUGAGGCCCGGAUGGCCGUAUCUGGUUGUCCAGUAUGUAGACGGUGAUAGAGCGGGGAGCUAUCAUGGAACGGGAGGGAAGGGAAGGCUGAGUAAUAAAGUAGCAGGAGCCUGGGCUCUGACGGCUUCACGGAGCAUAGCUGGCAUACCCGUGCUUCGUGGGAGACAGAAAUAAGGCCUCCCUCCCAUUGAAGUCACAGUUAUUUUGGGUCGCUCUUUUUCCCACGGCCCUCACAGGUGUUUCCCCUCCCACCCCCUUGGGCUCCCCAAUUCUGGGACCCCUCCUCCACCCACUUCUCAGGGCCCAUCACUCACUCAUCCUCCUCCUCUGCCCCCUGCAGCCUCUGCUCUUUCCGCUGCUGCCGGCAGAUGAGGAUACCUGUGGCGGCCACAGCGGUGGCAAUGAUGGCAGCGAUGAUGCCCCCAAUGAUGCCACCCGUGGCCCCUGCGCCUGCUGUGUUGGGGGUCUCUGCAAGAAGAGGGACAGUGUAAGGGGAUCCCCAGGAGAGGAAGCCACAGCUUCUUACUCCCAGGCACCCUCUUCCCUAAGUCAUCGCCCACCUGCCCACCCCUUCUCCCAAAGGCAGAGGGCGUUCGUUCCUUUGCCUAGUCCUCACUGAGCAU
RNAcentral lists this long non-coding RNA (5465 nucleotides) under Lynx pardinus (Iberian lynx). The record is from RNAcentral. Lineage: Eukaryota; Metazoa; Chordata; Mammalia; Carnivora; Felidae.